This 28-nucleotide ribosomal RNA is filed under the name Rafflesia speciosa. RNAcentral describes it as "partial 26S ribosomal RNA". The record is from RNAcentral. RNAcentral also lists the same sequence under 1 other name. Lineage: Eukaryota; Viridiplantae; Streptophyta; Magnoliopsida; Malpighiales; Rafflesiaceae.
GCCAAGCCCCAGGUCAGACGGGGGCACC